This 249-nucleotide ribosomal RNA is filed under the name uncultured bacterium. Its description in RNAcentral is "partial 16S ribosomal RNA". It matches the Rfam family "Bacterial small subunit ribosomal RNA", at positions 524 to 772 of the family's 1533-position model. The record is from RNAcentral.
UACGAAGGGGGCUAGCGUUGCUCGGAAUUACUGGGCGUAAAGGGCGCGUAGGCGGCACUGUUAGUCAGGCGUGAAAGUCCUGGGCUCAACCUGGGAACUGCGCUUGAUACGGCAGAGCUAGAGGAUGGAAGGAGCUCGCGGAAUUCCCAGUGUAGAGGUGAAAUUCGUAGAUAUUGGGAAGAACACCGGUGGCGAAGGCGGCGAGCUGGUCCAUUACUGACGCUGAGGCGCGACAGCGUGGGGAGCAAA